GACGAACGCUGGCGGCGUGCUUAACACAUGCAAGUCGAGCGGUAAGGCCCUUUCGGGGGUACACGAGCGGCGAACGGGUGAGUAACACGUGGGUGACCUGCCCUCAGCUCUGGGAUAAGCCCGGGAAACUGGGUCUAAUACCGGAUAUGACUCCAUGACGCAUGUUGUGGGGUGGAAAGCCUUGUGCGGCUGAGGAUGGGCCCGCGGCCUAUCAGCUUGUUGGUGGGGUGAUGGCCUACCAAGGCGACGACGGGUAGCCGGCCUGAGAGGGCGACCGGCCACACUGGGACUGAGAUACGGCCCAGACUCCUACGGGAGGCAGCAGUGGGGAAUCUUGCGCAAUGGGCGAAAGCCUGACGCAGCGACGCCGCGUGAGGGAUGACGGCCUGG
This 390-nucleotide ribosomal RNA is filed under the name uncultured bacterium. RNAcentral's name for it is "bacterial SSU rRNA". It matches the Rfam family "Bacterial small subunit ribosomal RNA", at positions 28 to 419 of the family's 1533-position model. The record is from RNAcentral.